This 524-nucleotide ribosomal RNA is filed under the name Nilssonia nigricans. RNAcentral's name for it is "partial large subunit ribosomal RNA". It matches the Rfam family "Bacterial large subunit ribosomal RNA", at positions 1924 to 2612 of the family's 2925-position model. Lineage: Eukaryota; Metazoa; Chordata; Testudines; Trionychidae. The record is from RNAcentral.
UCAACGGCCGCGGUAUCCCUAACCGUGCAAAGGUAGCGUAAUCACUUGUCCUUUAAAUAAGGACCAGUAUGAAAGGCUAAACGAGGCCCUAUCUGUCUCUUACAGAUAAUCAGUGAAAUUGAUCCUCUCGUGCAAAAGCGAGAAUACAAAUAUAAGACGAGAAGACCCUGUGGAACUUCAAAUAAAGCAUCAAAUUAACCAAACCAUACCCCUAUAAAGGGACAUAAAUCACUUUAACACCUGAUACAUAUUUUUGGUUGGGGCGACCUCGGAGUAAAACAAAACCUCCGAAAAAAGAACACACUCCUUACCUAGAAAAACAACCCAAAGUGCCCACUGCAAAAUGAUCCAAUCCAUUUGAUCAACGAACCAAGCUACCCCAGGGAUAACAGCGCAAUACCGUCACAGAGUCCCUAUCGACGACGGAGUUUACGACCUCGAUGUUGGAUCAGGACAUCCUAAUGGUGCAACAGCUAUUAAGGGUUCGUUUGUUCAACGAUUAAAGUCCUACGUGAUCUGAGUCA